Molecule: small RNA, 676 nt
Filed under: Arabidopsis thaliana (thale cress)
Lineage: Eukaryota; Viridiplantae; Streptophyta; Magnoliopsida; Brassicales; Brassicaceae
Description: ATSL169790
Source: RNAcentral
AUUCAUUAAUCAAAGGAGAGAAGUUAUCAUUUAAGUUUAUGAAUUAUUACCAUGAAUUAUACUUAUUUUGAGAAUUAGUUCUAAAAUUGAUAGGCAAAGUAAUGAUACCAUGUGAAGAAAAAAUAAGUUAUAAAAGAGAGUUUAAGACUUCAAGAAUAAGAAGCCAUCACAUUAUAUAUACUUUUCACCAUCAUUUUUAAAAUACAAAUAAUGUUAUUUCAAAUAAUCAAUAAACAUUAUAUAUAUCAUAUGUAAUCAAACAUAUAUAUAUUAAAUAUGCCAAUAUCUACAACAAACGUUUACACAAUCCUAACAUUUACAAUAUUUAUUUCUCAUUCAUCUGACAUGAACAUGGAUAUCCAUGACAUCAAUUUUGGCAUCCAUGUGUAUUGGGACAUCAAUACCACUCUUUUUCCACCUCAUUAUCUUUUUACUAUUUCUGAGAAAAUUUUUGUUGCUCUCUACUAAAUUGAUAACAUAUUACUUUUUAAAAAAAGUUGUGGAAUAUAGUGAUUAUAACCCCUAUGGUGGUAAGGAUCGGUUUCUACAUGAAGCUUUUUGAGUGAAACUCGAACAACAGGAAGAAAGACUGUGUUAUUACCUCCGAUGUCUAGGAGUACGACCCCUGCAAGUACAUAAAACUAAUUUAUUAAAACAAGUAAAAAACAAUUAUAUU